AGAAAGCAUUAAUUGCCUGAGGUCACCCAGUGGGUUUCCAUGACUGAACAGAGAUUCAAACUCAGGCCUCCAAGAUUCCUGGUUCAACACUCAAAGCACAACACCAAGAUGGUUCUUUUAUUUAAGCUCCCUGACAACUCCAAACUCUGCUCUGGAGGAAUGGGAAACCUUCUGGAAUGAUCUUUUAGGCAGCUCUGAACUGGGCAUGGGGAGGAGGGAAGACAUAUGGAUGACUACACUGCCAUCCCAGCAUAUGGGUGUUCAUCCAAACAGAGAGCUGGACAUAAUAUUGUCAGGUUUUCAAAACAGCAAUAAGAGAAAGACAAAAUUAAUUAUAUGCAGGACUUGUAAUCAGCCAGCAGCUAUUAAAGUUUGUGUUCUAUCUAAAUAUCAAAUGCAAGUAUUGAUUUCAGUUAAGGCAGGUCAUGUGUUUAUAAGUUGUUUUAAUGUGGUGUUUUAAAAUUUGUCUUGAACUUUUUGUAAACGUUUUUAGUGAGCCAUGGAAGCCACCUUGGGUCAUGACUUAGGAGACAGGUGGUAGAUAUAUAAAUAAAAUGAAAUAAAAU
Sceloporus undulatus (fence lizard) is the source of this 566-nucleotide long non-coding RNA. RefSeq lists it as uncharacterized. The record is from RefSeq and is a predicted model, not a curated record. The transcript has 3 exons. NCBI's taxonomy places the organism in Eukaryota, Metazoa, Chordata, Lepidosauria, Squamata, Phrynosomatidae.